This 279-nucleotide ribosomal RNA is filed under the name uncultured bacterium. RNAcentral's name for it is "partial 16S ribosomal RNA". It matches the Rfam family "Bacterial small subunit ribosomal RNA", at positions 506 to 784 of the family's 1533-position model. The record is from RNAcentral.
UGCCAGCAGCCGCGGUAAUACGGAGGGGGCUAGCGUUGUUCGGAUUUACUGGGCGUAAAGCGCACGUAGGCGGCGUAUCUAGUUGGGGGUGAAAGGCCCGGGCUCAACCCGGGAACUGCCUUCAAUACUGAUAUGCUAGAGUCCGGGAGAGGGUAGUGGAAUUCCAAGUGUAGAGGUGAAAUUCGUAGAUAUUUGGAAGAACACCAGUGGCGAAGGCGGCUACCUGGCCCGGUACUGACGCUGAGGUGCGAAAGCGUGGGGAGCGAACAGGAUUAGAUA